Molecule: transfer RNA, 72 nt
Organism: Caenorhabditis elegans
Lineage: Eukaryota; Metazoa; Nematoda; Chromadorea; Rhabditida; Rhabditidae
Source: Ensembl
GCCCUCUUAGUAUAGUGGCUAGUACUCCACGUUGUGGUCGUGGCAACGCGGGUUCGAUUCCAGCAGCAGGCA